AAGAAAGUACAGAACCCUGGUUAGUACUGCUAAUGCUUACCCCCGCGGUUAAACUCCGCGGCUUUCUCG
This 69-nucleotide transfer RNA is filed under the name Saurogobio gracilicaudatus. RNAcentral's name for it is "tRNA-Ser". The record is from RNAcentral. Lineage: Eukaryota; Metazoa; Chordata; Actinopteri; Cypriniformes; Gobionidae.